UCCCAUCAUCAAGAGAAGGGCUGGCGCCCUCGCCAACCUGCCGAACCGGGCAAGGUGGUUUCCGCAACAGGGAUGCGGCCGGAUGGAACCUCAUAGAGGUAUUCCGGCAAUGAAGCGGUUCAAU
RNAcentral lists this non-coding RNA (124 nucleotides) under Roseibium album. RNAcentral's name for it is "Labrenzia alba SAM-I-IV sequence". It matches the Rfam family "SAM-I/IV (S-adenosyl methionine) riboswitch aptamer". From Rfam's summary of the family: It is found upstream of a number of genes which code for proteins involved in methionine or cysteine biosynthesis. It has been found mostly in the order Actinomycetales. Lineage: Bacteria; Pseudomonadati; Pseudomonadota; Alphaproteobacteria; Hyphomicrobiales; Stappiaceae. The record is from Rfam by way of RNAcentral.